UACGUAGGGCGCAAGCGUUGUCCGGAAUUAUUGGGCGUAAAGAGCUCGUCGGCGGUCUGUUACGUCCGCUGUGAAAACCCAGGGCUUAACCCUGGGCUUGCAGUGGAUACGGGUAGACUAGAGGCAGGUAGGGGAGAAUGGAAUUCCCGGUGUAGCGGUGAAAUGCGCAGAUAUCGGGAGGAACACCGGUGGCGAAGGCGGUUCUCUGGGCCUGACCUGACGCUGAGGAGCGAAAGCGUGGGGAGCGAACAGG
RNAcentral lists this ribosomal RNA (253 nucleotides) under uncultured bacterium. Its description in RNAcentral is "partial 16S ribosomal RNA". It matches the Rfam family "Bacterial small subunit ribosomal RNA", at positions 524 to 776 of the family's 1533-position model. The record is from RNAcentral.